GAGGGUGUAACUUAGUGGUAGAAUUCAUGCUUAGCAGGCACACGGUCCUGGGUUCAAUCCCCCAGCACCUUCU
RNAcentral lists this transfer RNA (73 nucleotides) under Camelus ferus (Wild Bactrian camel). It matches the Rfam family "tRNA". From Rfam's summary of the family: Transfer RNA (tRNA) molecules are approximately 80 nucleotides in length. Their secondary structure includes four short double-helical elements and three loops (D, anti-codon, and T loops). Lineage: Eukaryota; Metazoa; Chordata; Mammalia; Artiodactyla; Camelidae. The record is from Rfam by way of RNAcentral.